GUCCCUAUCUUUCGUGGGCGCAGGAUAUUUGAGGAGAACUGUUCUUAGUACGAGAGGACCGGAAUGGACGAACCAAUGGUGUUCCUGUUGUUUUGCCAAGGGCAUAGCAGGGUAGCCAAGUUCGGAAAGGAUAACCGCUGAAAGCAUCUAAGCGGGAAGCCAACUUCAAGAUAAGAUAUCCCAUCUGAGCAAUCAGACUAAAGACCCCUUGAAGACUACAAGGUUGAUAGGUUGGGUGUGUAAGUGCAGUAAUGUAUUUAGCUAACCAAUACUAAUAGGUCGUGAGGCUUAACCAC
Molecule: ribosomal RNA, 296 nt
Filed under: Desulfamplus sp.
Lineage: Bacteria; Pseudomonadati; Thermodesulfobacteriota; Desulfobacteria; Desulfobacterales; Desulfobacteraceae
Description: partial 23S ribosomal RNA
Rfam family: Bacterial large subunit ribosomal RNA
Source: RNAcentral